Molecule: long non-coding RNA, 422 nt
Organism: Glossina fuscipes
Lineage: Eukaryota; Metazoa; Arthropoda; Insecta; Diptera; Glossinidae
Exons: 3
Source: RefSeq, a predicted model, not a curated record
AAAUUGAGUUUUGAUUUGAUUUUUAAAUUGUAAUUGUUUAGUAAAAAAAAAUAUAAAUCACAAAAGAAAAUAAGAAGGGGCAGAACUGCUCACUUUUGGCAAAAAUAACGUGUAGUGUGUGCAUGUGUAAAAUAAUUUCGGCAGAAAAUCUGUGAAUUUUAAAGAAAAAGAAAAGGCAUAAACAAGAAGAAGCACACAGAUACAAACGGUAAAUAUCGAUUUCCAUUGGUGGUGAAAUAAAUUAGCUGAAGGCCGGAAAAUAAUUCAACUAUCAUCAUGUCGCGCCUUACUGAAGAGAUGGUAAUCGCUAGAUCCAAACAAUCAGAUUUGGGAUCCAUAAAAAAGUUGAAUUGCUGGGGAAGUGAUCUCACUGACGUUUCUAUUAUAAAACGUAUGCGAGGUGUUGAAGUGUUGGCGUUAAG